CCAAGUUAUCAAAGCCAUCGACAUCUCCAUUGCUGUGAUUCUCCUCCGAGCUAGCUGAAUCACCUCGCCUAUUAUUAUUAUUAUUAUUAUUGUUAUUAUGAGUG
Long non-coding RNA from Drosophila arizonae, 104 nucleotides. Lineage: Eukaryota; Metazoa; Arthropoda; Insecta; Diptera; Drosophilidae. The record is from RefSeq and is a predicted model, not a curated record.